GGUUGAUCCUGCCAGUUGUCAUAUGCUUGUCUCAAAGAUUAAGCCAUGCAUGUCUAAGUAUAAACAUUUGUACUGUGAAACUGCGGACGGCUCAUUAAAUCAGUUAUAGUUUAUUUGAUAGUAACUACUACUUGGAUAACCGUGGUAAUUCUAGAGCUAAUACAUGCACUGAAAUCCCGACUUCUGGAAGGGAUGUAUUUAUUAGAUAAAAAACCAACCCGGGCAACCGGUUCUUUGGUGAUUCAUGAUAACUUUUCGAAUCGCAUGGCUUUAUGCUGGCGAUGUUUCAUUCA
RNAcentral lists this ribosomal RNA (293 nucleotides) under uncultured eukaryote. RNAcentral's name for it is "partial 18S ribosomal RNA". It matches the Rfam family "Eukaryotic small subunit ribosomal RNA", at positions 6 to 301 of the family's 1831-position model. The record is from RNAcentral.